CCUACGGGUGGCAGCAGUGAGGAAUAUUGGUCAAUGGACGAGAGUCUGAACCAGCCAAGUAGCGUGAAGGAUGACUGCCCUAUGGGUUGUAAACUUCUUUUAUAUGGGAAUAAAACGUUCCACGUGUGGGAUUUUGUAUGUACCAUAUGAAUAAGGGUCGGCUAACUCCGUGCCAGCAGCCGCGGUAAUACGGAGGAUCCGAGCGUUAUCCGGAUUUAUUGGGUUUAAAGGGAGCGUAGGUGGAGUGUUAAGUCAGUUGUGAAAGUUUGCGGCUCAACCGUAAAAUUGCAGUUGAAACUGGCAGUCUUGAGUACAGUAGAGGUAGGCGGAAUUCGUGGUGUAGCGGUGAAAUGCUUAGAUAUCACGAAGAACUCCGAUUGCGAAGGCAGUUCACUGGACUGCAACUGACACUGAGGCUCGAAGGUGUGGGUAUCAAACAGGAUUAGAUACCCGAGUAGUC
Molecule: ribosomal RNA, 460 nt
Filed under: uncultured bacterium
Lineage: Bacteria
Description: partial 16S ribosomal RNA
Rfam family: Bacterial small subunit ribosomal RNA
Source: RNAcentral